GAUGAAGAACGCAGCGAAAUGCGAUAAGUAGUGUGAAUUGCAGAAUUCAGUGAAUCAUCGAAUCUUUGAACGCACAUUGCGCCCCUUGGUAUUCCAUGGGGCAUGCCUGUUCGAGCGUCAUUUGUACCUUCAAGCUUUGCUUGGUGUUGGGUGUUUGUCUCGCCUUUGCGUGUAGACUCGCCUUAAAAUAAUUGGCAGCCGGCGUAUUGAUUUCGGAGCGCAGUACAUCUCGCGCUUUGCACUCAUAACGACAGCGUCCAAAAGUACAUUUUACACUCUUGACCUCGGAUCAGGUAGGGAUACCCGCUGAACCUAAGCAUAUCAAUAAGCGGAGGA
Molecule: unclassified non-coding RNA, 336 nt
Filed under: soil metagenome
Description: partial contains 5.8S ribosomal RNA, internal transcribed spacer 2, and large subunit ribosomal RNA
Rfam family: 5.8S ribosomal RNA (bases 1-120)
Source: RNAcentral